GGAAGGCACUCUUUCUGGUCUCUCCUCUAUGGAGUCUUUUUGUGAACCUAAAUCUUCGGCUACAGAUGUCACCACUGUCAUAGAAGGCUACCAGAUUGGUCAGGAUUGUUCUGCCUUUAGUGAAGCCAUCCUGGUUAUCUCGGAUCACCUCUUCAUCUCGCAUGUGCCUCAACAUCUCUUCCAAGAGGAUCUACUUCAUUAUCUUUCCAGGUACAGAGUCACCAGAGACUUCACCUAACAGCCACAAUAUUUCAAAUAUGAUGGAGAGCAGCUUGGUAACCACAUCAACCAGUUUCUUCUGAACGCUGGGAUGUGUGUCAUCUGGCCCCAUAGACUCACAUGCAUUCAGAGGUGAUGUUGGACUUGCUCCAAGUUUACAGGGGGAGAGAUAUUGGUCCCCUGACCUAUAGGAGUCAGAAGUUCAAGGAUGUGAGAGGCACAGGAAGCCUGACUGCUAUUGAAGGCUGGAGCAAAGAAUUCAUUGAACUCAGCCUUUGCCUUGUUUGUUGAAGUCAAUUCUCACUUCUCCCCCUUCAGAGGGGGUAUACUUGCUGUGUAAGAGUGUGAGAUCUUUAAUGUAUGCGCACUGUGCUAAGACAACAAAGUAGUAGAUCUGAGCUGAAAA
Molecule: non-coding RNA, 625 nt
Organism: Meleagris gallopavo (turkey)
Lineage: Eukaryota; Metazoa; Chordata; Aves; Galliformes; Phasianidae
Source: RefSeq, a predicted model, not a curated record